GACUCAAUCUGAUUCAGCACUGGUGCUGCCAAUCCAUGCUAGCUUUCCGGCAGCAGGUUGAGUUGUGUGUCGGUCCCGCCCUCGCAGCCGAGUGUGGUUGGUGUUUAAUCAGCGGCGGAUAGCGUUCCGGGCCGAGGUACGGGGUUGGUAGCAUGGUUGACGUGUUCGGAAUAUUCUCCGUAAACGGUGGGAAUAAGGCCACUAUCUGAGAUUUUCAAUGCCGAAGGAAGCGCCGGCUAUGUACAGGUGACACACGUGUUUGAAAGCCUCACCAACCGUCAAGAAGUGCUGAAAUCGACGGUCUCCUCCAUGCUAGAAGAUGGGAUGCUCAUGGAGCUACCUCCUCACCUUCAUUGCCUGAUUGUCCACGAUCAUUUUCAACUGGAUGUGAUAAUGGAUAUGUAACUAAUAAUAAAAUGUGGGAAAUUUGACUACCUCAACCUUUUCCAUGGACGUCCUUCUCCAGUUGUCUGCUGGCUCAAGGAGGGGAACGUUGCUGUCAGCCGGCAUGUCCUUUUAUCACACCAACAUAUCUUUUUACACAAGAAUUACAGAAAUAAAUCAGGUCAGAAGUU
This is a long non-coding RNA of Rhincodon typus (whale shark), 575 nucleotides long. RefSeq lists it as uncharacterized. The record is from RefSeq and is a predicted model, not a curated record. NCBI's taxonomy places the organism in Eukaryota, Metazoa, Chordata, Chondrichthyes, Orectolobiformes, Rhincodontidae. The transcript has 3 exons.